GCUGAAUUGAAUUGAUAUGUUGUGUGUGAACAAACAUGGGUGUUGGGUGAUUUUGAGUGUUGGAUAGUCACUUGUUUAAAAAUUGUUUACCUGCUUUCAAAUCUAUUCUCAAACUGCAUAAGUUCCUUUCAAACCUCAUAAAAAUAAACAUAUAACUUGUUUCUUUGGUUUUUAGAUGAAAAGGGAAAAGGAGUGACACCUGAACGUCAAGAGAUUUACAUUGAAAAUCUAACUCGGUGUCCUGUAUAUCUCAAUUGGUUUCCUAUAUUGCUGUAUUUGUGUUAUCUCACCGAUAUUGCCUUAAUUAUUUUGUUGCAUUUGUGUUUUCUCACUGAUUUAUUAUUAUUAUUGGCAGGUUAAUCAUCAAUUUUGUAGCCUUCAAUGAGGCUCGGCAAGUUGAUACAUCUAAAGCAAAAAAUAAAUAAGGUUUUCAUCUCUUUCUCUUUGUUUUGAUCUGUUUAAGUUUCUUAUGAUAUAGAAAAGUAAUAAUCUUAUGUGCUCAAAUAUAAUAUUUUAGUUUACCCGUGUAUGGUUCUUUGCCUCUAUUUGCUAUUACCAUGUUUGGAAUUUGUAUUGUCCAAGGGAAUUUUUGUACACAUAACUUAUUGAACAUUUUCAUUUUAUUCUAGAAGAAUAUUGAUGAUAUGGACGAAGAAUUUCAAGAUUUGGAAGAACAAGAUGAAGAUAUAUAAAUUUGAUGCUUGUUUUUUUGUUUUCCUGAUGGAUAUUGGUGGUCACGUUGAAGAUGUUAUAUUGAAUGUGAUUAAUGAUAAUUGUCAUUAUCUCUAAGGGUAUUCAUUAGAAAUCCAAAAAUAUUAUUACGUAUGUAAUUGUGUAAAUGUUACUUUCAUUGUGAUCAAUGAUGAUCGACAGCUAUUUCAUUUUCUGUAAUAUAUUUAUUUAGUAUCAGAUUACAAUUUUAUAUUAAUAAAGUUCUUUUUUUAUCUAUGUUAUUGCUUUUUUCAGACUUUAUUUUCUUUUUUAAUUUAUUUACGAGAUAAUUUUUUUUUGAAAAAAAAGUGUUUUGCAACACUUUUUGGCUGUUGGGGGUACUUAUAUAAAGGCAAUUAGAUAAAGGUCUUCCAGAACGGUUUUCGCAAUAACAACGGUGAGAGGCGUAGCGACAUCCCUUAGAAAAGCGUUUCCAAAGAAUACCUAUUGCUACACUUUUGUUCUUCAUAACGGAAAAAUAACGUUGUUGUUUUUACCUUUGAAAACCGUUUUCUUUUAGACACUAAAACUACGGUUAAUCCCACAUCGUUGCCCUUUGUAAAGAAAACCGUUCUGGAAAGAUAAGACAACGCCUCAGUUUGCCACAGACAGAAAAGCGUUCUGGUAGACAACAGCAACAGUUUUUUCACAUUUUGCUACGCUUUUUUGCCGUUGUCGUAAGAUGAAAAUGUUGUAGUGAUAGCUUUUCCUUGCUGAAUCAUUGAGCGCCUUCAUAAAAAAAAACUGGGUGAUUAAUUAGCACAAUGUCACAUUAUAUAAUCAUUCUCCUUGCAUAUUUUGUUGCAAAACAAUUCAUGAUUCUUUCAAAACAAUAUUAUUUAAUCUAUUUUAUGACAUAGUAGAUCACAAAUAGGAUUUUAACACAACAAAUAACAACAACUUGCAUUUAUAUAUCAAAUAAAAAUUAUUCUUUGAAUAUAUUUUCUAAAAACACUAUAAAUAAAAUUUCGAAUUAAGUGAUCACCUUCACUAUCUCUCCAGACAUGGUUGGUUUUUUCAAAUAACAACUACCAACUUGCAUUUAUUCAAAUAAAAGUUAUUCUUUGUAUGAAAGUAUAUUAAAAUUUCAAGUUAAGUGAUCACCUUGAUUAUCAUUCCAUACAUGGAUGGCUUUUUCAUCCAAUCUGGUAACUGCGAUCUAGACAUCUCAAACUUAUGUGGAAACCCUACGAUUGUGAACUUAUCAUAAUCAGAUUCCACUUCGUUGUGAGCUCUAUGUUUUUCAAACAAGAGCUCGGCACAGCGAGAGAAAAUGCUCGCAGGAGAGAAAACAAUUCUUGGAAUACCUAACUUGCUUGCAACUUCCACAGUCCAAGGAUGACACAAGUCACUAACUAUGCAAUCAACUUCUAACUCCCCCAACAAGUAAUUCUCUAUUAGCGACUGCAGCAUUACGAACCCCUCUUGGAAUUUUGCAGCUUCUGUAAGAGGAGUAUCAGUGUUGAAGGUUUCUGUUACAACUGAAAGGUUGACUUGCUUGGCUGGAAACUCCAGAACAUGUGUUUUUAUGGGUCGACCACGAUUGAAAUCAUGGUCGAUAGACUUUUGAAAAAUCCCAGCAUUGCCUGCAGUGGUGACUAUGGUGGAGUCUACACCAUGCAUGGCAAAUAGCCAUGACAUUUCAACCAAUGGGAUGAUGUGACUUGUAGCUGAGAAGGGAAUGAAAAUAACCUUUAGGUUAUUGGCUUCGGCUUCGUGAGACUGUAUCGCCAUUUUAUCUCUUUGGAGGUUGGAGAUACUGCUUCUGAUGUAUAUGAAUGAAUGAAUUUAAUGAGUAAGAAUAUGAAUGAAUGUGAAGACACGAAAGAUUCCCAUAAUAAAUUUAUUUUUUCUGAGUUUUUUUAAGAGAAAUGUUGCACAUGAUUUCUAUUAAAUUAGGAAGUGUAUAAAGAUGGAUGAAGCUUUUGACCUGUUCUUACAUUUUUUUUUAAAUGUGUAUGAAGAUGGAUGAAGGUGAUGAAAAUGAAGAAUAGUCUAUUUUGUUGGUUAAUAAGAACACUUAUAGUUAGUCUAUUUUGGUGCUUGUGAUGAAGAAGAGAAACUUCAUUUUUUGAUGGUUCACUGUUAGAUUCAAUAGUCUUAUUACAUGAUAUAAGAGUCUAUUUUGUUUCAAAAAAUUAAAUAAAUUAAUAAGAUCUAAUGUAGGAAACCUACAAUGUUAGUAUACCUUGGACAUUUUUAGUUAAAAUUAACAAUGUGUUGUCCGACGGAAAGCAUAUUUGAAGGACUAAAACGAAACUUUUAAUAAUUAUGAGACCAAAACGAAAUUCAAGAUUCUUUUUACAAUACAAAAUUAACUACAUUUCUUAAGAUGUGUAAAAAUAUCAAAACGACUUAUAAUAAAAUGAAAUGCUAAAAAGUGUCUUUAGGGCAUUGCUUAAGAGGAUAUAGAUUUUUUUUUUUUUUUUUAAGAAGGAUAAAAUAAAAAUAUUGCAUUGAAAAGCAAUGAAAAAUAAUGAAUUUAACUUUUUAAAAGUUAAAAUAUUAUUGAAUUCAAUACAAAUCUAUAAUAAAAUAGUUAGAGUAUGCAAUACAUACGUUGUGGUUAACAAGAACAUUUAUAGUUAUAGACGGACCUUUCUUCAACCUCGAGAAACUUGAUUCGAGACCCGACAACCAAAGACCUUUCUUAAAAAGAAAAAAAUUAUAGUAAGACUUGGUACCAUAUGAAUAUGAAACAUAAAUAAAAGCAGAUUCUCAGAACCAGAUUUCACUGUAUAAGAUUCGGCCAAUCAGAAAUUUAUUUUUUUUGUUCAAGGUCAAUGAGAAAUUUUGUACUACCUAGAUUUAUUGAUUAAUUAAUGUUCCAUGCGACCCACGUUAGUACAUUUUAUAUUUCUGAGGUACUUAAUUAAUGCUUUCCUUCUUCUUUAUCUCCAAAAAGAAAAUAAAAUACUUGUUUGAGGAGUUUUUCGAAACAGAGGAUUCGUCAACAAAACAAUUUUUAUAAGCAAAAUAAUGUUCCAUGCUGAUCGAUGUGUCUAUAGUUUUUAGCUUAUUAAUUUUCAUAAGAUUCAUGUGCUUGGAGUACUUGUUAAAGAGAAAAUAUAUGAUGAGUUUUAAGUUAAAAGUUGUUUUCAAAGUUUUAGUGUGUUGAAUACAUAAUUUCUAAGAUAAAAUGUCUUUUUUAAACGUUUUAGCAAGUGUCCUGGCGUCAUUUGUUAUGCUUUUAGUUAAUAUAUAUAUAUAUAUAUAUAUAUAUAUAUAUAUAUAUAUAUAGGGAUUUGCUAGAACAUACCUACUAGUUUUUAUAUAGGAGUGUUUUAGCAAGUUAUAACUAAAAUUUUAAUAAAUACAUCUUAAGGUAUAUGUUGCUAUAACACACCUUCUAAAAAAACAAGUGGGUGUGUUCUAGCAAAUCCUAUAGGCAUUUGCUGGAAUACACCCACUUAUUUUUUAGAAGGAGUAUUUUAACAAGUGAAUAACUAAAAAGUGGUUAAAUACACCUUAAGUGUAGCUUUGCUAAAAGACUCCCACAUAAAAACUAGUGGGUGUGUUCUAGCAAACCCCAUAUAUAUAUAUAUAUAUAUAUAUAUAUAUAAAAACUCAAAAGUAGAAGAUUAAAAAAGAAGAAGAUGAAAGCUUUUGUAUUAUUCUCUUCACAAGUGUGCAUUUACACUACAAUAUGAGCCCUAUUUAUAGGACACUACAAUAUGAGUCCUAUUUAUAAGAUACAAAAUGAAUAGCUGAGUGAUCAAAAUAAUUAAGGUCCACUAACUAUAUAUUCACUCACUAAUGGGGGUUAUAGGAAGGUGGAAGACUAAGGACGGACAUCCACUAAAGUCAUUUAUUCAUAACACUCCCCUUUGCAUGUCCAACAUGAUAUGCCUCAUUAAAACUUUACUAGAAAAAAAACUCAAUGGAAAAAAAUUCUAGUGAAGGAAAAAGAAUACAAUAUCCUUUUAAUGAUACACUGAUUUCUCCCCCUCAACAAUACAACCAUCUCUGAGUCGACGAAGACCACUUUUUUGUAUCAGUUGUUCAAAAACUCUGCUUGGGACUGACUUUGUGAAAAUAUCUGCAAGAUUAUUACAAGAACGAAUUUGUUGAAUGCUUAUAUCACCAUUCUUCUAAAGAUCAUGCGUGAAAAAGAACUUAGGAGAAAUAUGUUUUGUUCGAUCUCCUUUAAUGUAACCUUUCAACUGAGCAAUGCAUGCAAUAUUAUCUUCAUAAAUAAUUGUUGCAUAUGUUCUCCCGAUAGAUAAACCACAACUCUCUUGUAUGUGUGGAAUUAGAGACCUUAACAAAUACACUCUCGACUCGCCUCAUGUAGUGCUAAGAGUUCAGCAUGAUUUGAUGAUGUUGUUAUGGUUUGUUUCACGGAUCUCCAUGAAAUGGUUGUACCUCCACAGUUAAACAAGUUACCUAUUUGUUAUAUUCCAUUAUGAGGACCUAACAAAUAACCUGCAUCUGCAUAACCUGUUAAUUCAAAUUUUGGUACUUUUGAAUAAAACAAACCCAUGUCUAUUGUACCUCUAAGGUAACGAAAUAUAUGCUUGACUCUGUUCCAAUACCUUGAUAGUAGAUUGACAGAUAUCAGGACGUGUAUAAUUAACAAGGUACACUAGUGCUCCAAUUGCACUUAGAUAUGGUACUUCAGGACCAAAUAUUUCUUCACCCUCUUCUUGUGGUAUGAAAGGAUCUUUCUCCACAUCCAGUGAUCUAACAAACAUUGGAGUAGACAAUAGAUGGGAUUUGUCCAUAAAGAAACGUUUUAAUACUUUUGCAACAUAAGCUUCUUGAUGCACAAAUAUUCCAUUAUUCAAAUGCUCAAUUUGUAAUCCCAAACAAAAUUUUGUCCUUCCCAAGCCCUUCACCUCAAACUCUUUCUUUAAACAAUCUAUAGUCAUUUGUAUAUUCCCUCUUUAAUCAAAUAUUCACUGACGUGAUUAUACCACAUGUGCCCUGAUUAUUUUAGCCCAUAUAAAUACUUAUUCAAGUUGAUGGAAUAGUCUUCUCGAGAUCUAAGACAAUGUGUCUCAGGCAAAUUAAAUCGUUCUCGGAGUUUCAUGUAAAUGUCACUAUCAAGUGAUCCAUAUAAAUAAGCUGUAACAACAUCCAUCAUGUGCAAUUUGAGCCCUUCAUGUGCUACAAGACUAAUUAAGUAUCGAAAAGUAUAUUCAUCCACUAGAGAUGAAUAUGUCUCAUCAAAAUCAAUUCUAGGUCUUUGUGAAAAUCCUUGGGCAACAAGCCGAGUUAUGUAUCUCACAAUUUCACCAUUCUCAUUUUGUUUUCUCACAAAAACUCAUCUAUAUCCAACGGGUUUAACACCUUCAGGUCUUCAGACUACAGGUCCAAAAAACUUUUCGCUUGUGAAACGUGAUUAAUACGAUUUAGCAGCAAAAUGAAAGGUUAGGACGCGUGGAGCAAAAUCACGAGAAGAUUUCGAAAGAGAUUGGUACGUAGAUCGAGGUUGCACAAUGCAAUGAACAAAACAUUACUCCGACAACGUCGCGGACACUAUGUCCGUUCUAACGAAGUAACCACGAAAUAGGGAUAAGUAUCCAGGUGAUUCUGAAGAAGGAAGCAAUAGCUGGUCCCCUUCUCAUCGCGGUCGUAGAGAGGCUCCACUACCGCGGCUAAGCCGUAGAUCCUCCCCGCCAUAAUCAUCGAAGACACGAAAAGUAUUAUCUUGAGUGGCGUCGUUGUCACCACAAACUUGUCCCAUUUACGAGAAGGAUAGUAAAUUUCUCAUACCACGUGUCACCGAGAAGUCACCAAAACUACAAUUUUAUGAUUGAUCAGGUGAUCGCGACAAACAUGUAGAACAUUUGACACCGUCCUCAAUUAUCAUCAGGCGCAGGGACCGAUCAAGUGUAAACACUUUGUGCUCACACUGAAAGGUGUUGCGAUGACUUUCUUAGAAUUGACGAACUAAUAUUUAUUUAUUUUUUGGGUAAGAUUAUUUAUUACUGUGAUACAAAUAUUGUGUCCGGUGAAGUAUGUAAAAAAUAAUUGAUCAAGGUUUACAUGGUUUUUAGACAUCAGAUCCCAAAUCGAAUAAACCUGAAGUCAAUUUCAAUUUGCAACAAGUUAACUCCUUGAUUGUAAGCAAAAAUACACCCUACAAAUUAUUGAGAUUUACAUUCAAAUCACUUACUUAUUCAAAAACAACAAAGAACAUGCUUAUUGGCCUUAUUAAUUACCAUUAAGCCUUUGAAGUUUGAGCGACUUAAGCUCAUGAAUUAGUUGCAUCAAAUUGGCAUGAGAAGACCCACCAACAAUUAUAGCUUUCAAUUCUUCUUAUAAGAUAUCUCAAUUUCAUACAUCAAGUCAUGAAACUCGGCUUCAAAGGAGGUGGUGUUAUGCAUAUUGACCGCAACCUAAAUUUAAGCAUCCUCAUCCCUAAAAAUCCCACUACAAGUUGCAGGUCGGAAACAACCCUUAAUAGAACCAUCAAUAUUACACUUGACCCAACUAAGGAUGGGGGAUACCAUAAAACCGCCUUGAUGCGAGAAGCAUUAGGCGCAUGAUCCUAGACAAAGAAAACUCUUAAAAUCUCAAAUUCCUACAUGUUAGAAUAAGAAUGCGCAUUGGUAUGAUUCCCAGACAAUAAAGUGUUAGAACACCCUAAGUUAGCAGUGGUCUUCGAAUUAACUUUGACACCAUUAAAUAAUUGCUUGUUUCUACAUUACCAUAUGAUAUUUAUCACAUUGAUAAUGGCUGAAUGACCACCACUUCACAUUACGAUGACCAAGAUUUAUUACAAAGCUCAUUCACAGUAUACAUGUUACCGGUGUCCGUAUGCAUAUUGAAAAGGUAAAUAAUCUAACAUGAAAAUUGACCUGCAAAAUCACAAUCGAAAAAACAAAUGAUUGUUAGAUUCUUCAUGCUUGCAACGCGAGCAAGCAACACAUGGGGUUGUAACCUUUAACCGUUAAAUUAUCAUCAAUAGGAACUUUGUAAUGAAACAGCCUCCAAAACAAAAGAGAUUUAGAAGGAGGAAUAGAAGAACUCCAUAUAUUCUUAGCCCAAGACACCUUGGUCACCAGAGGCUUUUGAAAUAGAUAGACAUCCUUGAAGCACAUCUCUUGUUGUGUAGCAAAUGGAAGUUAAAAAUUUCGCAUUGCUUAGAAAAAUAGAGGUUGGGCACUCUCAAUGCCUUAAAGUUUCGAGUAAAAAUUUGGUGUCCAAAUCACUGGUAUGGUUAUUAUGGGCCCAACGCGUGGAUGAUCCCUCGAGCUCUCCUUGUGACCCAACAAUGGUGUCAGGCCGAGGUUCAAUAAAGUUUCAACCACCUCCUUGUUUCAAAAAUCUUCUUGACAAGGUGUUUGUUGGUGCCUUUGACAAUGGCGGUGCAAGAGUAAGUCUACGCGGAUGAAAAAGCUUCCACUUGAGGGGUGAGCAAGAUGAAUGGAUGGACUCUUACUUUAGAGAAGAUUGUUGUUGGAAAGGAUGAGUAAGUCUAUGAAUGGAUGGACUCUUUCUUUAUAGUUUCUACCAGUUGAAAGCCAAUAGUCAACUCUGUAUGUGCUCUUUGAAUGGUCAACCAUAUUGCUCUCUGUUCAUUUUGCAUUCUUCUAAAGUGCCUCAUGUCUUUAACAAUUCCAUCUUUAAGGUUUCCUAUAUCCCUUGUCCACCAUGCUUCUUUCAUGACAACCAAGGUGUUCCCCAGUUCUUCAUGCCCGGUUCGAUAUGUGUAUACAAAAGGUAGGUGGUCUGAUGGAUAAUCAAUGAGGGACAUAGUUUUUUUACCAAUAAACGGCCAGUUAAAGACUGUUAAAAAGUUUUUAGGAUCAAUUUCAUAUAAACAAAGACUUCUUUUCGUCAGAGGACAUAAACAAAGACUUAGAGUUGCAUUAUUAUUAUUUCUUUGAAAAGGUUAAAGAAGUUUUAUUCAGGAUCCUAAAUGAAACUGGUACAAGCAGUACCGAUACAAAUAUGUUAUGCAAAUAUUUACAGAGUCAUACAAAGAAAUCGCAUUUUCGAAUUGAUGGUAAGCUGGUGUAAGGUUGUUUUUUUUUUUUUUUUUUUUGAAGUAAGACUGGUGUAAGGUUUAUUUUGAUGGUUAAUAAUUGAUUAUUUAAAUAAAUGGCUAACUAUUUAUUUAUGUUUUCCUUGUAUUAUACACUAUUGAUGUGAUCCCAAAUUCCACAAUGCCAAGGAAAACAUAAAUAAUUGGCAUUGCAGACUUUCGGGUUCACAUCAAUAGUGUAAAAUACAUCAACAUUCUCGGCAAGUUAGCUUUGGCUUUUAUAAUAUCAAUGGCUAAUAGUAGCAUCCAAAGUGUCUCUUCACCCGGUGCUUUCAGUAGUUGAUGAAAAUAUCUGAAUGUAUUGAAGUAUCAGGACAAAUUGUUCUACCUAUUUUCUAUGACGGGAGUCCAUCUGAGGUACGAAAGAAAAACGGAAAUUAUGAAAAAGCUUUUCAGAAGCAUGAAUCAAUGAAGCAAGAUUCAAAGAAAAUUUAGAGGAUUUGCAAAUAUGGAGGGGAGCCUUAGCACAAGUAGCCAAUCCCUGGCUGGAAUAUAAAGGAUCAGUAAGUUGUAUUUUCUAUGUUAGCAACAAGAUAAUCAACGCUUUUAAGUUUAUUACUAAAACUUAUACUGUUUUGUUGAACUGCUUUAUCAUUUUAGGCCACAAUAUCCAGAUUGGAGAAAUCAUUGAAGAGUUAGAAAAGCUAUUUUGGACUCAGACAAUGAUGUUCGAGCUGUAGGGAUUUGUGGACUCUUGUUAAUGCUUUGUAUGCUAGAAUCUCUAAUCAAUUUGAUGCUUGUGCUUUAUCGACGAUGUGAGUAAAAUUUAUGGAGACUAUGGCCCAACCGAAGUGCAAAAGCAACUUCUUUGUCAAACUCUAAACGAAGAAAAUCUUCAGAUAUGCAAUCUUUCUAUGGGAUCUAAUUUGAUUCGAACUACGCUAUGUCAAAUAAAAUCUCUUGAAGUUCUUGAUAAUGUUCAAGUUGAACAACUUGAAAAAUUGGCCAUGAAAUGAUAAUGGCUAGGCACAGGAAGUAGAAUCAUCGUAAUAUCUAGAGAUAGCCAUAUCUUCAGAGAGCAUGGAGUAGAUGAAGUUUACAAAGUUCGACUCAUAAAUCAUAAUGAUGCCCUUCAAUUGUUUUGUAGGAAAGCUUUAAAAAUUGACGAUGUCAUGAGCGGUUACAUAAACUCGACAGAUGAUGUACUCGAAUAUGCCAAAGGUCUUGCAUAUUAGCAAUUAAAGUGUUGGGAUCAUUUUUGUAGGAGAAGUGUAUUGGCAAGAUUAAGAGAGAAUCCAAGGGCAGAUAUUAUGGAUGUACUUCGAAUUAGUUUUGAAGGACUAAAGGAUACAGAAAAGGAUAUAUUUCUAGAUAUUGCUUGUUUCUUCCAUCAAAGCAUGGAGACAUAAGUGAAGAAGUUUUUACUAUACUUUAACCACUUUUUUUUAUGCCUCUAAAUUCCCCCCUUGUCAUACUCAUGUUUGUUGGCUUCUCUAUCACUCCUCCUAAUGACACUGCUCUAUUGUCUUCAUUAAAUUCUUUUAGUGAAAUGAAGUCUUGCCAACACUUUUAGUGGCAAAUUUUAAGAGUUAAGAGAUGAUGUUGUUUUAAAGAGAAAAAUACACUGACAUCUAAUUGUUUUAUUUUUGGAGUUGUAUUUUUUUGUUAAAUCAUAACCAAGAAUUCUUUGGAAUUUAUUUAUAACUUCAAUAAUAUGAUGUUUUUUUGGCUGUCAAUAUCCUAAUGUAUAUUUAUAACCUGUUCCUAAUGUAUAUUUACUAAAGAAACUAAAAGAAUAUUGAUAACCAAAAAAGUGACGUUACUUGUCCAACGACUUACUUAACUUACAUCAGCUUGCAACACCUCAAUUCAGUAGAAGUUCAAAAAUAACUAAAAGAAUAUUUAACAAUAGCACAGAACAACAAAAUCAAAUUAAAAAAAGAAACAGGUAUGCAAUUUCUAAAGUAAGAGUCAAAACUAGCCUUCUAUAUGCAGCAAGACUGAUAGGAACAGGUUUAUAAUUCAUAUACAUCAAUUGAAUCCUUACUUUCCACCUUCAAUGUAAUAGUUCUCCUAGUAAGAGUCUUCGCAUAUAUUUUCAUUACCACCACGAACCAGCAAAACCAUAUUAUAAUGAGUAUAACCAUCUUGAAGCUGCUUUCUAGCAACUAUAAACUUAGUGGAAUACCCACUUUCUCCUGAAUAUUGAAUUCACAUAACCUAUUGUAUCUGAACUCUCUCCAUCAGCACCAAAUGAAGUGUAGAUUCUGUUUGAAUGUUGUAAUCCGCAAGCGUACGAUCGUUCUCCAAUUGCUUUUCUGUCAAUAUUUUCACAAAGAUUUUCAUCUGCUCAUAUUGAAACACCAAAAUGUUAGAAACAGAUCACUCACAUCAAGACAACACUAAUUAAAUCACAAACAAUAAUCCAUCGAAUUCAGAACAAGCUGGGACCAAAGCUUUUUGCAAAAAUUCUACUCAUGAGAUUAAAUUCAUCAAUUGACAGAUUAUAUCACAAGAUAUUCCACGAUAGCCAAGGUUAUCAAUCGCUGAUUGCAGAAACAAUAGUUUAUUCAGCAGAACUAUAACAAAUGCUAUAAUUAGACAACAUUUUAUACUAAAGAACGUACAGCAGGACCAUAUCAAUUAUAUCAUAUUCGACAGCAGUCGGUAUUUGACAACCAAUACAUGCCCAGCGUCACUAUAUGAUAGAAAGGCAUCAAUUCUGAUCUCUAUAGUACCGACAUUUCUGAACGUGUCAGAUAUCCGACACCAACACAAAACCUUCACAUUCAACCAAAACUAGGCCUCUGCAAACCAAAAAGACUCCCACCUACCCACAAACACAGUAACACCGUAGCCAAAAAACGCAAGAACAACUGACAGCUUCUACACCCCCACCCCCAAAUCACUCCAAGCACUUACAAGGAUCCCAACACAAUUCGUAGAAGAGGCAAUUAUAAGAUUUCUUCCCGCUCAAUCACCAUCUACAAGAAAAGACUUUGAUUUUUUUCGCCACCUCCAAGAGAUCCUUCCUAAUCUAAGAGAAAAUAAAUCCAUUUAUUGCCUUCCAAAUUGACCACACCGUUGUAUGCCAAAUUAACCAAAAAACCUUCCUUAAUGGCUUACAUCACGCAGCCCCACUAAAACAUUCAAAGUGGACAGAAAAAUUUGGUGGCAACACCAAAAAUAACCAAAGCCACUGAAACACACUAAACCAAACCAUUGCUGCAAACUUGCAGUGAAGAAACAGAAGCACUGAUGUUUCCACCUUCCCCACACAAACUCCACAGUCAAUCGAACCCCCCACUAGGAUAACAGCCCUAACUGUCAUAUUGUCUUUUGACAAGACACGAUUGUGCAGUAAUUUCCACAAAAAAGCUGCAACUUUUGAGGGUGCAGCAGAAUUCCAAAUACUACCAAGUACCAAACACAUGAGAAUCAGAAGUGUCCAAACUGAUUUCAUUAAGAAAAACCGGAGCCAAUAAAUGAUGAACGAAAAAGAGCCACCCGAACAACCUCCUCCGUGAACAAACACUACCAAACACAUCUGGACCCCAAACCCAAACAUCCUCCUCCGUGGAUAAAUGCACUGCCUGCAGUAAAGACAAUAAGACCUGCAAAAUUCUCAUUCUCCCAUUCGAACAACCUCCUAUGCCAAGUGAACGACCACCUCCAAACCUCACCUUCCCUAAUUCUCACCUCGCUCACUGUACCCUUCUUCUCGGUGAACGGAACCAAACCUGUCCACACAUCUAACCAAAAUCUAGUGAAACCAGUGCUCCCUUGCCAUCAUAUCUACCCCUCCAAUAUCUUUCCACCAGCACGAAGAACAAUACAGAAAAGCUUCCUCUUCCCAGAUUCCUCUCUACAAAAUCUCUUUCCCGUAUUUCUCUAUAGAAUCUCUUUCCUUUAUUUCUCUACUAAUGCCUCUAGCUGACUUAACACUUGAGCGUUAGAAAUGACAUGUUUUUUUUCUUAACAUUUCACAAAAUUGUUGCCAACUUGGGAACACAAAUUUAUAUUGAUGAUUAUAGUGAGGCUUAACUGUUGAACAAUCAAUCUAGGUGAUAAUUCUUACAACUUCGUUAAUCAUUAGAAGAUUUUAACGCUACAGAACGUUAUCUGUGUAUUUCAAAUGAUAUAUACUCAAUUCAUUCACAAAGUGAAAGUUCUAUAAACUAGUAUUGGUAGUCUGACUAGUUGAAGUUAUUUCAUUUAACCACAAUCUAAGUUUGGUGAUGCAGUUAAAUGAAAAAUUCAAUCCAUUCUCACAAAAAUAAAUAAAUAAAUAAUGGAAAGAAGAUUUACCGAAACUUAAUGACACAUCGCCCCUGGCAUAAAUUUUGCAAUUGGUUCCUGACAUAAGCAAGCUCCUCCAAAUUUUUUGAUAAUAAUUCCGAACAGAAUAUGUUGAUCUCCCCUAAGACUGUGGCAUUUUCUAACAGAAACUUUACAGCUUCGAUAUCAGGUUUAAUUCCAAGAAAAUCUGAUAUAGAACAUACUUUGAGAGAAGAUGUGAAACACCAAGGAAAUGAAUUUGAUGGCCAUCCUUCAUCCAUAAAUAAGAAAAAUCCCUACACAAGAAUCAAUAAACAAGUCAAUGAACAGAAAUAAUUUUACUAUUAGCUGUGAAACAUGGUAGAAGAAGCAAGAUACGUGAUGUACCUUAGAAAUGUGAAGAACUUCCAGAUUAGGAGUCUUGUGGAAAAUGCUUGCUAAUACUUCACUGGUGGGGUAAAAAUACCCCAAGGGCACAUCAAGAUGCGUCAAAUUGAAGAACGGAGGCAAAAGAUGAAGAGUGUCUUUUGCAUAGUUAAGACACUAGUAAGGGAAACAAAAAUAGAUACAUCAUUGUAAUACAUAAAGAAUAAGCAAUGGAAACAAUCACAUAACCCAAGCAACAUUGUCAAUAAAUUAUCUUAUACAACAUUUAGAAAAAUGAAGAUCAUAAGUGAGCAGUAAAACAUACCUGAAGAGUAUCAUUUGAUAUUGUGAGAGAUUUGACACUACCAAGUCGACUCAAUAGCUCAAUUGCAAAUUGCUUAGUAUUUUGCUGUUGAUUUUGGAGAUCAUAACACCUAAGAUCAAUACAUGCAUCAACUAUGGAGGUAGGGUUAACUAGGACAAAUUUUAUAAUUGGAUGGGCUGUGUAGCUUAAAGAUAAAAGAUUCGUAACAUCAAAUUUGAUUGUAAAACUGCGAAUACGCAAAUCACUUGGAUCAAAAUGAUUUAACUCGAUGGUCAACUUCCUUAGUGUGGAAAUUGCAACAUUGAUUUGUUCUAUGUUCAACCAAAAAAAUUUAUACAAGGUCAACUCUUGUAGGACAGGGCACCCAGACAAAAGCCGUUGAGCCGACUUCUCAUUUUCGAAGGAAAGAUGUGAAAGAUAUAACGUCUUCAAGUUAGGGAAACGUAUACCAUCAGGUAUAUAUAGAGUGAAACCAAAUUCUAAGCACAACUUAUUCAAUGAUUGGGAUGCUGAGAAAUUAUUGGGUAACACAAACCUAGCAAAUGUUUGGUCUAGGGAAAGUUUAAGAUCAAGGAGUUUGUGCAUCAAUGCUGAAGAUAACAAAGAAUUAGCUUUAUCUCCAUCAAUAUCAGCUUUUUGUACUUGAACGCAAAGUCUUUCUACAUGGUUAGAUGUGUGAAGUAGUUUGUCCACCCAAUCUAUGAGGCAAUUUUCCGACUCCUGUUCUGGCUUUGAUACAUCCGGAUUACAAGAAACUUGAAAAUCAAAGAUGGAUAAAUGUGUCCACAAGUAUUUCCACUUUGUAGCUAAUAUGGAAGUUCUUACAGCAUCUUUAGUAGGGAGUAAAGAAAGAAUAUGAAGAAGAACAGCCUCGGGUAAUUCACUUAUCAUAUCUUCCAUAUCACCUAUAUCAUGUCUUUGGAGCUUAUGUAAAUUUGAUGAUGACAUUGUAGCAGCCUGUUCAAAAUAAAAAAUAAUGACACACUAUUGUAAAAAAGUACAAAACAACCAAACAAUAAUUCUUAGACAUUUUCCCAAACAUUUACAAGGCACUCAUGAACUAUGAAGCACGGAUACAAACACGGACACGGCCAUUGAAACCGCUAAUAAUUUGAGAAAAUCACGUAAUUCAGUGUAAUUAUGUAGUAUGUUGGUGGUGUGUCAGCACGUGUCCGACACCGGGACACGCUUAAUCCGAGGAGUGUCCGUACUUCAUAGCUAAUGAACUUCUCAUUUGUAUCAAAGUAAUAAAUAAAAAGAACAUUAAUCUGAAGACAGUUAAAUCGAAAAAGAAACAAACAUGGUGAGUAUUAAAUAAAAAUCAUUGAAGGCUGAUUUGAAUUGGCUUAUUUUUUUAGCUUAUUAAAAACAACUUAUCCAAAUAAAUAAGAUUUUAUUUAUUAUUCAUAAACUUGUUUAUGAAAAAACAGCUUAUGAAGAUACAAUUUUGAGAGAACUUAAUUAACAUAAAAAGCUUAUUUACUUGCAGAAAUUAUUUUUUAUAAGGUCAAAAAUAAGUCAAUUCAAACGAGCUCUGAUUCACAUGCGUAGAAGGAGACGAUAAGCUUAUUGGAAAAAAUAAGCUACCUCAACUUAAACAAAGUUAACAAAAAUUCAUAGGCAUUUUCACAAACAGUUGUUACGCACUUAUGAAAAAAAAAAUAUCGAUGAGAUAAACGCAGAAAAUAAAGCCAAACAAAGGUUGAAUAGAAGGCAUUGGAAAAACAGCAUAAACGAAGAUUGUGGAUUUGACAAAAGGAGAGAAAAGGGAAUAAAGCGAUUACCUUGUUAACAGCAUAAACGAAGAUUGUGGAUUUUCGGUUUAUGAAUCACUAUAGUUAAACAAUUUUAUUACUUGACAUGGCAAAUGUUUGAUGCUAACACGGAGUUUAAGAAGACUGAGAUGAAUCGAUGAGAUAAACGCAGAAAAUAAAGCCAAACAAAGGUUGAAUCGAAAAUAAAGACAGAUCACAAAUGUUUGGUCCAAGGUAAUUCAUAGGCAAAUGUUUGAUGAGAUAACACACACUUAUUUGGUUGCAAUGUCAUAUGUUGCCAGAUCAUCCUCUAUUCGCGGCCUAUAUGCUUUUGUAAUAGGCUUGCUUUUAUGUUAGGGGCGAAAAUCAAAACGUUUACAUCUUGCUAGGUUUGUUUAAAAAAAGAGAUACAGAGACGAUUACUUUAGAUAAAAAAAAUGACAAUAACACUUAAAAAUUCACACACGAAAAUGGAAGAUUUUUAGUUCGAACAGGGGUCACAACAUUCAGCCUGACAUUUGUCAAUUGAUCUACAUGUUUAUACCAAUUUGGCACUAGUUUAGUGCAACUGAAAGAAAACUGAGUUGUACCAAAAACUAUUGUGAUUGCUGAUGUGUAUAACCUUCAACCUAAUAACAAAAAAUUUCUGUAAAACAAACCAGAAAAUUCAAUUAAACUAUAUUAUUCUUUCUUUCUUUCCCUCUUUAGUAUGAAAUAAAGAUACUAUAACUUGACAGAAAUAAAGCAUAUAACAAAUGUUCUUAGAACUAACAAAUAUUUUUUAAUCCUCUAUAAUACAUAACAAAGGAGGAAACAUAAGAUUAAAUAAGUAGCAGAAAGUCAUUGAAGACAAAAGAUUACACUCUACAGUCUACACCACUGAGACAGAUAGCAAAAAUUGUCAUUUCACAACCUGUCCUCCAAGGAGAUCUUCAAUGCUUCAAGUUUUUCAAAGUGUCUCUGAGAUUAAGAAGUUGUAUUUUUCAUGUUUUAGAAUUCACAAAACUCAUCGAUUAAGAAAGAGAAAUAACAAUAAGGAGAGGAUGAAAUCAUUCAGAAAACAAUAAAUCAGUCAGAGCAUGUCCAUUAUUACCUGCAGCACGGAGCACCCCAGAAUUUGCAUCCUGAAAACAACAGUGAAAGUUAGAUCAAGGCAUUCAAUGUGUUCCACGUAAGAAUGAAACAGCCAAUAAAAAUUAGUGGAAGUGUUCACUAUUUUUGUCAAGAGUUUUACUCACUUAAUCUUCAUCAGACUCAUCAUCAAAGGGAUCAUAGUAGUUGUAACUGAAACAGUGAAAACAAAUAUAUAUCAACGAGCAACUAAACAUAAUUUCAAGAAUAAAGAUCUCAAACACAUCUUCCGAAUUCCCGGAAAUAUGUAAACUCGUUUUAGCUAUGUAAACUCGAAUCGUAAACUCGUACGAGUUUACCUAAAAUUAAAAUUAUAUAAAAUUUAUUAUAUAUAUAGCAUAUGUAAGCUAAUAUUUAAACAAAACAUAACCAAUUAACCACAUUUAAAUAAUAAACUCUAACAAUAAAAAACAAAAUUUAUCAGUACAUUUAAACUCUUUUUCAUAUUCAGUUGUAACUUUAACUUCAAUUGUUUCAUUUUCUCAUUUAAAUACUUGAGCAAGUAAUAUAUUUGAAUGAUUUCAAAACAAUCAAUAAUAACAAUCUUCUGAAUGCAUUCCCUAAAAUUCAAUGUAUGUCAUUCUCACGCAUUGGCGUAGCUUCUGUACAUAGCAAGCAUGAAAAAACCGAGUUAUGUUAACCGUAAAGGCAACAUUUCAACACCUUGGGAUUAAAAAAAAAAUUGAAUUUUGAAAGAAAAUGAGAAAAAAAAAACCAAAAAAAAAUAAAAAUAAAAAAUUCAAAGGUAAACUCGGACGAGUUUACUCCGAGUUUACACGAGUUUACACGAGUUUACCGAGUUUAACACGUGUUCACUCGGUCAAACUCGUCAAACUUUCCGAUUUCACCAAAAACCAAGUUUACCUCCGAGUUAACACGUUUUUGCCACCUAAAAACGUAAACUUGAGCGAGUUUACGUGUUAACACUCGAUUUGUGGAACAGUGGUUAUUAAUGAGAAACUUGUUCCAAACAUCCUGUAGGCUGUGGAUUGAUCCAACAAUCAAAUCUGAAGGAACUAAAUUAGGCUCAUAUCAUGAAAAGAUCAUAGUAUGAAAACCUUCUUUACAUGCUAAAAAUAUUCUAAAGAACAUUAGCAACAUCCCAUUAACAUGAAGGUGAUCCCAGGAAAAUAAUACAAAAGUCUAUAGUUUUAAGAAAUACAAAAGUAAAGAUAUUACUGAAAAAGAGCUUUAAGAAAUUAUGUUGAUAUCAAAAAAUACAUUAAAGAAUUUUGAAUUAGCUUUCAUGUCAAUCAAGUCAACAUUAAAGCUUUGCUUAUGAUCUCAAAAACAUGGCCCAAUAUAGACUUAGUGCAUUUAAAAGAAUAGACAAAGGACAAUCCGGUGCACUAAAGCUCCCGCAUAAACAGGGUUCGGGAAGGAGUUUCACCAUUUUUGGUGUAUUGACGCAGCCUUACCCUGUUUUUUACAUGGGAGGCUGUUUCCAGGACUUGAACCCAUGACUUUUCAGUCACAUGACAACAACUUUACCAGUUGCGCCAAGGUUACCAGUUGCAUUUAAAAGAAUAUAUAACUUGGAAGUACUAACCAAAUAUUUUAACUCAAAUAGAUAAAAUAAAUAAUACAAUUACUCUAGUUCACCUUGCAUUGCAUAAAAAAAUGAAGUUAUUAGUAGUUAUUUCAAUCAAACCUCUCACUUUUCACACAGGAACUACGACCCACGUUUAAGUGUCUAUCUCUGUUUUCUAAAAAUGUUGGGAUGUUAUAGCGUGCAAGCGAGCGCAGGGUGGAGGGAGAAUGAAACCAUUUCCCAAAAUUUAAAGACGAAACCACCUAGCUGAAGUUUAAAAACAAGUUCAAGAUUCUUUUUGCCGCCAAAAAUCAUGUCAUGUUUUGGUAUGUCAAGCGUAAAAAGUAAGAACAGGUAAACAGCCACUUUAAACACCUCGAAUGUUCCAUUUCCCAGCAAACAGAGUUUGUCCAAUAAAAUAAAUUGAUUCAGUUCACAAAUUUCAUACUCCACAAACUAGCCAUAAUAGUCUAACUAGCCAUAAUGGGCUUGCUUGUGGAGGGAAUAUAUAUUUAAUAAAAAAAUUAUUUCAUAAAAGAUUGAACAUGAUUUCUCUUAAAUGAUUCGAUCUUUUGUAGCUAAUAGAACCCAAUUAUUUUGGUUUGGAUUUUCAAAUUUAUACGAAUAAAAGAUUUUUUUUUGAAAAAUACGAAUAAAAGAUUGAUAUAAUAAAAAACCAUACUUUAUUAUUCAUAAAUCUUUUUUUUUUUUACACAAAACAAAUGACAUUCAUUCAUUCAAAUUGAUAUGAUACAUCAAUGCAAUAGAAAUUCGUAAAAACAAAAAGGAUAAAUUGUGAACAAACUCACGACAUCCAUGUUAAUAGCAUAAAAUGGCAAAGUGCAUAAGCCUACAAAUAUGACUAUAUUAAAAUUUUCGGAAUAAUCAUGCCUCCGGAUCUGCAAUGUUGAUGACGCCAAAGUCAUUUGUUGGAUCUGCACUCUAACAAUCUGAAUCGAACAAACACCUGAACAAGGGAAAAGACAAACAACGUCGCACAAAGACGACAAACAAAACAACGUCGCACUAAGACGACGAAAUCACAAAAGGAAAACCUAAUUCGACGUGAAAAUCACUUAUUUAAAUAGAAGGGAAUGAGGAAAAACGUUUUAGAGGGGUGAUUUGGGGUCAAAAAUUGACCCUAAACCACCCUUCUUUGAUGGAUGAAGAAGAAAAAAUUAGAGUUUCAGACGUCAACUUACAAAAGAGAGAGUGGGAAUAUCUUAUAUAUUAUAUAUUUGUAACUAUAUACAAAAGAAAAUAUAAAAGUUUGAAUCGACUUUUUCUCUAUCUAAUUUUACCUUUCAUUGAAAUAAUUUUGUUUACCAUUUUAUUCUUUUUAAAAUAUUACAUAAAUUAUUAAUUAAAAAAUAUUUAAAUCUCAUUAAAAUAAGAACAAUCUCACUGUGUUAGAAUAAUAUUAUUUGUAACAAUGUGUAAAAAAUAAGAGGUUUUCGGUUAGAUUAUUUAUUAUUUCAAUUAUACUAUUAAACAAAUUUCCUAUAAUAAUUUUAUAUUGUUUGUGUCAUUGAAAAUAUUAAAAAAUUUAUGUUAUGCUUCCUCAUUUCCUUUUUAAGUGUCGUUUUGGAAGAGUAACACUAAUUUAAUGAAGAAGUGCAUUUUAAUUCAUCAAUAAAUUUUUAUUUUUUGCAAAACACUUUCUUUUUCCAAUAAAUUUGAUGUGUUAUUUUUCUCUGAUAACAAACAAUUGUUAUUUACUCUCUUUUCCUUCAACAAUUUUUUUUUUAACACACUUUAUCUCUCUACCAUAAGAAAGAAUUAUCAAUAAUCUAAACAUUGUACACAUAUUUUUUAAUAAUUGUCAAACAAAAUAAAAAUUAUUCCAACUUCACGUUAAUCUAAGAAAAAAAUAUUUUUCCUCCAUUUCCUUCUAUCAAAUAGAUUUCGACUAUAGUUUCAACUAAUACUAGAUUCACACUAUGUGACAUAGAUUUGAAUGUUGAAAAUAACGAAAAAUAAAAUUUUGUUUUAUAAAAUAAAACUGUUUUAAAAAAAAAACAAAUUUCUUUAAAAAUAAAUAACAAACUUUAGUUUUCAAAUUGAUAACAUUAUUAGUUUUAUUGAAAAAGAUAAGAGUAAUUAAGAAAUAGUAUAAAUGACAAAUCGUACCCUUAAAUAAAUAGAAUGAUAGUUAAAUAAGAAUGGUAAAUCCGUAGUCAAACGACACUUAAAAAGGAAUGAAAUGAGUAUUUGUUAUACGAUUGAUGUAAUUUAAAAAGAUAAAAAUGUUGUUGCAAUUUGAAAUCGCAAACAUCGAUACCUAUAAUUUUAAUCAAAAUUUAACUAAUUUCAUUAAAUAUAUUGUUCAUAAUUACGGUGGAGUUUAGCAUGGGAAAGACUAUUUUUUCCCACCAUGGAAAAAUUGUUUUUGAAUCAUUUGAUUUAAGAGGAACAUUGAUCUUAUGAUAGUCUCUUCACACUUGAUUUUUUU
This 20484-nucleotide long non-coding RNA is filed under the name Medicago truncatula (barrel medic). The record is from RNAcentral. Lineage: Eukaryota; Viridiplantae; Streptophyta; Magnoliopsida; Fabales; Fabaceae.